GCAGGGAAUCUUGCGCAAUGGGCGAAAGCCUGACGCAGCAACGCCGCGUGGGUGACGAAGGCCUUCGGGUCGUAAAGCCCUUUUCUGGGGGACGAAGAUCUGACGGUACCCCAGGAAGAAGCCACGGCUAACUACGUGCCAGCAGCCGCGGUAAUACGUAGGUGGCAAGCGUUGUCCGGAGUUAUUGGGCGUAAAGCGCGCGCAGGCGGUUCGGUAAGUCUAUGGUGAAAGCGCUCGGCUUAACUGGGCGAGGGCCGUGGAGACUGCCGAGCUGGAGGGGAGCAGAGGCGAGUGGAAUUCCGGGUGUAGUGGUGAAAUGCGUAGAGAUCCGGAGGAACACCAGUGGCGAAGGCGGCUCGCUGGGCUUUACCUGACGCUGAGGCGCGAAAGCGUGGGGAGCGAACCGGAUUAGAAACCCGUGUAGUCC
RNAcentral lists this ribosomal RNA (427 nucleotides) under uncultured bacterium. RNAcentral's name for it is "bacterial SSU rRNA". It matches the Rfam family "Bacterial small subunit ribosomal RNA", at positions 354 to 796 of the family's 1533-position model. The record is from RNAcentral.